RNAcentral lists this ribosomal RNA (327 nucleotides) under uncultured eukaryote. RNAcentral describes it as "partial 18S ribosomal RNA". It matches the Rfam family "Eukaryotic small subunit ribosomal RNA", at positions 1470 to 1796 of the family's 1831-position model. The record is from RNAcentral.
CCCUUAGAUAUCCUGGGCCGCACGCGCGCUACACUGACGAAUGCAACGAGCUUAUAACCUUGGCCGAAAGGUCUGGGUAAUCUCCAAAUUUCGUCGUGAUGGGGAUAGAUUAUUGCAAUUAUUAAUCUUCAACGAGGAAUGCCUAGUAAGCGCAAGUCAUCAGCUUGCGUUGAUUACGUCCCUGCCCUUUGUACACACCGCCCGUCGCUCCUACCGAUUGAAUGGUCCGGUGAAGCGUUCGGACCGUGGCCUUUGGACGGUUCGCCGUCUGUUGGCUGCGGGAAGUUCGUUAAACCUUNUNAUUUAGNGGAAGGAGAANUCGUANCA